AUGUAUCAGCACAGUUUUUGGAUUCAUUCGGUUAAUCACCCUAACCAAGAUCGAUUGUUGGAUUACAAAAAAUAUUUUUAUUCUAAGUUUUAUUCUCAGAUUCUAUCUGAAGGGUUUGCGAUCGUUGUACAAAAUCUCUCUACAAGAAUUAUCUUGUCCGAAAGAAAAAAGAUCUUUGUAGGAAUACACGAAAAAGUAAAUCGGGUCCAGCGAGACAGGGGUGGUUCUUGCAUUCAAGUGCUGGCCAUGCCGUCCCCCUUCCUCCCCAGGGCACAGCACUAUAUAUAG
This 288-nucleotide ribosomal RNA is filed under the name Triticum aestivum (bread wheat). RNAcentral describes it as "partial small subunit ribosomal RNA". The record is from RNAcentral. Lineage: Eukaryota; Viridiplantae; Streptophyta; Magnoliopsida; Poales; Poaceae.